GAAUGUCCCCUCCCUCCCGGAUGUGCUCCAGGCGUGGGUCUCCCCUUUAAAGGCAGCCAUUGAGGACGACAAAGGUGUCCUCAAGUCAGUGGUGGAGCAAAGGUGGAAGGGGAUCGAUUUUAAGGAUUUCAGAGAACACAAGGGUAGAGGCGUCAUUGCCACCAUGCCGUUCUCCAAAGGUGAAGUGAUCUGCGACUGUCACGGAAAGCUCAUCUCUGAAUCGGUGGGGAAGAAGAUGGAUGAAAUGCAGGAGGGAGUGAUGUGCUACCUCUUCUUCGUCAGGGGCAGGCUAGGCAACAAGCUGUGCAUCGAUUCCCAGAACUUCCCCUGCGAGUGCCGCCCUGGAUAGGACACCUUUGGAAGGCGCAUGAACGACUCGGGCAAGGCGUCCAAUGUGAAGCCUGUGGUGUUCCAGUUGAACUUCGCAGACGGACCCCAAGACACUGUCCUGUUCUUGGCCCAGAGAAACAUAGCCGGCAACGAAGAGCUGCGUUGGGACUAUGGUGUGAGACGGAUGUCCUUCAGAGAUGAGGGCAUGGACCUGGCAUGGCUGGAUGACUGAAAUGAUUUGCGUUGGUUCAUUGUGUUCCCUCAUUUGUUGUUGCCGGUUGUUGCUGUUCUUGUUGUUGUUUAGUGUCAUGUUUUGAAUAAA
This is a long non-coding RNA of Gadus morhua (Atlantic cod), 652 nucleotides long. RefSeq lists it as uncharacterized. The record is from RefSeq and is a predicted model, not a curated record. The transcript has 2 exons. Lineage: Eukaryota; Metazoa; Chordata; Actinopteri; Gadiformes; Gadidae.